This 382-nucleotide ribosomal RNA is filed under the name Puma concolor (puma). Its description in RNAcentral is "partial 16S ribosomal RNA". It matches the Rfam family "Bacterial large subunit ribosomal RNA", at positions 1968 to 2524 of the family's 2925-position model. Lineage: Eukaryota; Metazoa; Chordata; Mammalia; Carnivora; Felidae. The record is from RNAcentral.
UUUGUUCCCUAAAUAGGGACUUGUAUGAAUGGCCACACGAGGGCUUUACUGUCUCUUACUUCCAAUCCGUGAAAUUGACCUUCCCGUGAAGAGGCGGGAAUACAACAAUAAGACGAGAAGACCCUAUGGAGCUUUAAUUAACCGACCCAAAGAGACCCAUUAAUUUCAACCGACAGGAACAACAAACCUCUGUAUGGGCCGACAAUUUAGGUUGGGGUGACCUCGGAGAACAGAACAACCUCCGAGUGAUUUAAAUCAAGACUAACCAGUCGAAAGUAUUACAUCACUUAUUGAUCCAAAAGUUUGAUCAACGGAACAAGUUACCCUAGGGAUAACAGCGCAAUCCUAUUUCAGAGUCCAUAUCGACAAUAGGGUUUACGAC